UUGAAACGAUCUAUUAAGAUUACUUUUUUAAAGUUUUUAAAUUAGUUGAGUCCCCCGUGCCUAUUGUCUAGAAUUUUUUAUUUUACUAGACUAGUUCUUGUUUGGUGAGGAUUACAAUUAUAUUAUUAAUGGAUUUUAUAAAAAUUAAUGAAAUUAGUGAUUGAAAAGUUGUGGAUUUCAUGGAAUAUGUGGUUAGAAUUAAUCAUUCAAUUUGGUUUAUAUUAAAAUUUUAAUUUUAAUCUGACCUGAAUUUAAGAUUUUUCAUCGGGAAUAAGUGGCUACUUUCAACAAAAUGAGAGUCACAUGUACGUGACUGUAAAGUCAACCAUUUUUCUUACAAUUCACUUUCAAUGGGAAUUCCGAGUUUAUACUUUAUGUAUAAAUACUCUAUGCACAUGGCCAUCAAAGGUAUUGCGUGAAAUUUUUAUUUGGAAAUAAUAAUCAAAUAUUAAAUUUUUUUUUUUUUCAAUUAUCAGGUGAUUUAUGAAAACCAUGGUCAACCAUUCAA
This 508-nucleotide long non-coding RNA is filed under the name Olea europaea (common olive). Its description in RNAcentral is "long non-coding RNA (OEUR_LNC009307)". Lineage: Eukaryota; Viridiplantae; Streptophyta; Magnoliopsida; Lamiales; Oleaceae. The record is from RNAcentral.